CCUACGGGAGGCAGCAGUGGGGAAUAUUGGGCAAUGGAGGCAACUCUGACCCAGCAACGCCGCGUGAAUGAUGACGGUCUUCGGAUUGUAAAGUUCUUUGAUUGGGGAUGUACACCAUGACGGUACUCCAAUAGCAAGCCACGGCUAACUACGUGCCAGCAGCCGCGGUAAUACGUAGGUGGCAAGCGUUAUCCGGAUGGACUGGGCGUAAAGGGUGCGUAGGUGGUUUAGUAAGUUAGCGGUGUAAUUCCGGGGCUCAACCUCGGCACUACCGCCAAAACUAUUAGACUAGAGUGCAGGAGGGGUAAGUGGAAUUCCUGGUGUAGCGGUGGAAUGCGUAGAUAUUAGGAAGAACAUCAGGGGCGAAGGCAACUUACUGGACUGUAACUGACACUGAGGCACGAAAGCGUGGGGAGCAAACAGGAUUAGAUACCCGGGUAGUC
RNAcentral lists this ribosomal RNA (443 nucleotides) under uncultured bacterium. RNAcentral's name for it is "partial 16S ribosomal RNA". It matches the Rfam family "Bacterial small subunit ribosomal RNA", at positions 338 to 795 of the family's 1533-position model. The record is from RNAcentral.